Clupea harengus (Atlantic herring) is the source of this 1130-nucleotide long non-coding RNA. Lineage: Eukaryota; Metazoa; Chordata; Actinopteri; Clupeiformes; Clupeidae. The record is from Ensembl.
CCGACGCGGGUACUGGGUGCAUUCCACCCGCCACAUUCCCCUGUGUGCUUUCACGCAGCGACACUUGUUGACGUCUCUUCGGGGGUCUAUUUCUGGAGUGAGAGUGGGCCUGCACCGUGGUGGCUCCUCUCAACGGCCCCAGGGCCAAAAGGAGAGGAAUGGGAAUGUGUUUCUGUGUGUGUGUUUAUUCCAGGACUCCCACUCAUGUGACCUUUGACCCUGCGUUAAUCAGUCACUGUCAGGAAGGGACCCCAGGAGGUGCCAAUGGACUGUGUGUGUAUGUGUAUGUGUUUGUGUGUUUACGGUUUGACCAAUCCAUGAUUUUUAUUUGUGUCAUAUCUGAAGACUUCCCUUGUCCUCUAUAGCCGCAUGGAAACAUGGAAGUAUAUUCUGGGUUUUGAUAAGAUGUCAAACAGCCGAAGGAGCACACAGCAGUUUGAUUCUGUCAUCUCAUUAUGUGACUCCCACACUGCACCUCUCUCCCCCUUUCCCCAUCCCCCAUCCCCUCAUCUCCUCACUCCUGCCACAAUGCUGAUAGACCAGCCCUGGUGUGCUGCAUCUAAACUCCCAGGCGCCCUCUUGUGUUCAAGACUUGGAAUUUAAGGUGUGCCCACAGACAUGAAGGUUCAGCCAGCGAGGAGCAUGCAGCUAGUCUCUCACCAGCAAACUGUAUGAAAGCAUCAUUUGAGUUUGUGUGUCAGCUGUAGGAGCCACAUGUGUGUUUAAGUCAGAAAUAGUCAUCAUUAUAUCAUGCAUUCUACACAACUUAACCUCCCCCCCUUUGAAGCUCUGGGAUCAGCACACUGUCCUGCCCCUGGGUAACCUUUCAGACUCUGUAAUCGUCACACUGCCUGGCUAUGGUAGUGAGCCGGAGUGGGUUUCACACUCCUCUCCUCUCUCUUCCGCUCCACCAGUGACAACUUGUAGAGCUCAGAUAAGCCAAACAGCAGACCUCCACAGGCAGAUAUUGCAACUCAAAUGUAGAGCAAGCUGCUAAUAGCACCAAGGUCAUGGGUUUGAAACCCAGGAAGCAUCCGUACUGGUAAAAAUACAUAUCCGUACAGUACUGUAGGAUACAUUUUGAGUAAAGGCGUCUACCACAUCUCUAAAUAUUAAUGAAGAUAGCAGGG